UACGGAGGGUGCAAGCGUUAUCCGGAUUCACUGGGUUUAAAGGGUGCGUAGGCGGGCCUGUAAGUCAGUGGUGAAAUCCUGGGGCUUAACCCCAGAACUGCCGUUGAUACUAUAGGUCUUGAAUGUUGUGGAGGUGAGCGGAAUAUGUCAUGUAGCGGUGAAAUGCUUAGAGAUGACAUAGAACACCAAUUGCGAAGGCAGCUCACUACGCAACGAUUGACGCUGAGGAGCGAAGGCAUGGGGAGCGAACAGG
This 253-nucleotide ribosomal RNA is filed under the name uncultured bacterium. RNAcentral describes it as "partial 16S ribosomal RNA". It matches the Rfam family "Bacterial small subunit ribosomal RNA", at positions 524 to 776 of the family's 1533-position model. The record is from RNAcentral.